RNAcentral lists this ribosomal RNA (2816 nucleotides) under Klebsiella pneumoniae. RNAcentral's name for it is "partial 23S ribosomal RNA". It matches the Rfam family "Bacterial large subunit ribosomal RNA". Lineage: Bacteria; Pseudomonadati; Pseudomonadota; Gammaproteobacteria; Enterobacterales; Enterobacteriaceae. The record is from RNAcentral.
GGUUAAGCGACUAAGCGUACACGGUGGAUGCCCUGGCAGUCAGAGGCGAUGAAGGACGUGCUAAUCUGCGAAAAGCGUCGGUAAGGUGAUAUGAACCGUUAUAACCGGCGAUGUCCGAAUGGGGAAACCCAGUGCAAUUCGUUGCACUAUCGUUAACUGAAUACAUAGGUUAACGAGGCGAACCGGGGGAACUGAAACAUCUAAGUACCCCGAGGAAAAGAAAUCAACCGAGAUUCCCCCAGUAGCGGCGAGCGAACGGGGAGCAGCCCAGAGUCUGAAUCAGCUUGUGUGUUAGUGGAACGGUCUGGAAAGUCCGACGGUACAGGGUGAUAGUCCCGUACACCAAAAUGCACAGGUUGUGAACUCGAAGAGUAGGGCGGGACACGUGGUAUCCUGUCUGAAUAUGGGGGGACCAUCCUCCAAGGCUAAAUACUCCUGACUGACCGAUAGUGAACCAGUACCGUGAGGGAAAGGCGAAAAGAACCCCGGCGAGGGGAGUGAAAAAGAACCUGAAACCGUGUACGUACAAGCAGUGGGAGCACCUUCGGGUGUGACUGCGUACCUUUUGUAUAAUGGGUCAGCGACUUAUAUUCUGUAGCAAGGUUAACCGUAUAGGGGAGCCGCAGGGAAACCGAGUCUUAACUGGGCGUUAAGUUGCAGGGUAUAGACCCGAAACCCGGUGAUCUAGCCAUGGGCAGGUUGAAGGUUGGGUAACACUAACUGGAGGACCGAACCGACUAAUGUUGAAAAAUUAGCGGAUGACUUGUGGCUGGGGGUGAAAGGCCAAUCAAACCGGGAGAUAGCUGGUUCUCCCCGAAAGCUAUUUAGGUAGCGCCUCGUGAAUUCAUCUUCGGGGGUAGAGCACUGUUUCGGCUAGGGGGUCAUCCCGACUUACCAACCCGAUGCAAACUACGAAUACCGAAGAAUGUUAUCACGGGAGACACACGGCGGGUGCUAACGUCCGUCGUGAAGAGGGAAACAACCCAGACCGCCAGCUAAGGUCCCAAAGUCAUGGUUAAGUGGGAAACGAUGUGGGAAGGCACAGACAGCCAGGAUGUUGGCUUAGAAGCAGCCAUCAUUUAAAGAAAGCGUAAUAGCUCACUGGUCGAGUCGGCCUGCGCGGAAGAUGUAACGGGGCUAAACCAUGCACCGAAGCUGCGGCAGCGACACUAUGUGUUGUUGGGUAGGGGAGCGUUCUGUAAGCCUGCGAAGGUGUGCUGUGAGGCAUGCUGGAGGUAUCAGAAGUGCGAAUGCUGACAUAAGUAACGAUAAAGCGGGUGAAAAGCCCGCUCGCCGGAAGACCAAGGGUUCCUGUCCAACGUUAAUCGGGGCAGGGUGAGUCGACCCCUAAGGCGAGGCCGAAAGGCGUAGUCGAUGGGAAACAGGUUAAUAUUCCUGUACUUGGUGUUACUGCGAAGGGGGGACGGAGAAGGCUAUGUUAGCCGGGCGACGGUUGUCCCGGUUUAAGCAUGUAGGCUGGUUAUCCAGGCAAAUCCGGAUAAUCAAGGCUGAGGUGUGAUGACGAGGCACUACGGUGCUGAAGUAACAAAUGCCCUGCUUCCAGGAAAAGCCUCUAAGCAUCAGGUAACAUCAAAUCGUACCCCAAACCGACACAGGUGGUCAGGUAGAGAAUACCAAGGCGCUUGAGAGAACUCGGGUGAAGGAACUAGGCAAAAUGGUGCCGUAACUUCGGGAGAAGGCACGCUGGUGUGUAGGUGAAGUCCCUGCGGAUGGAGCUGAGACCAGUCGAAGAUACCAGCUGGCUGCAACUGUUUAUUAAAAACACAGCACUGUGCAAACACGAAAGUGGACGUAUACGGUGUGACGCCUGCCCGGUGCCGGAAGGUUAAUUGAUGGGGUUAUCCGUAAGGAGAAGCUCUUGAUCGAAGCCCCGGUAAACGGCGGCCGUAACUAUAACGGUCCUAAGGUAGCGAAAUUCCUUGUCGGGUAAGUUCCGACCUGCACGAAUGGCGUAAUGAUGGCCAGGCUGUCUCCACCCGAGACUCAGUGAAAUUGAACUCGCUGUGAAGAUGCAGUGUACCCGCGGCAAGACGGAAAGACCCCGUGAACCUUUACUAUAGCUUGACACUGAACAUUGAGCCUUGAUGUGUAGGAUAGGUGGGAGGCUUUGAAGCGUGGACGCCAGUCUGCGUGGAGCCAACCUUGAAAUACCACCCUUUAAUGUUUGAUGUUCUAACGUUGGCCCCUGACCGGGGUUGCGGACAGUGUCUGGUGGGUAGUUUGACUGGGGCGGUCUCCUCCCAAAGCGUAACGGAGGAGCACGAAGGUUAGCUAAUCCUGGUCGGACAUCAGGAGGUUAGUGCAAUGGCAUAAGCUAGCUUGACUGCGAGCGUGACGGCGCGAGCAGGUGCGAAAGCAGGUCAUAGUGAUCCGGUGGUUCUGAAUGGAAGGGCCAUCGCUCAACGGAUAAAAGGUACUCCGGGGAUAACAGGCUGAUACCGCCCAAGAGUUCAUAUCGACGGCGGUGUUUGGCACCUCGAUGUCGGCUCAUCACAUCCUGGGGCUGAAGUAGGUCCCAAGGGUAUGGCUGUUCGCCAUUUAAAGUGGUACGCGAGCUGGGUUUAGAACGUCGUGAGACAGUUCGGUCCCUAUCUGCCGUGGGCGCUGGAGAAUUGAGGGGGGCUGCUCCUAGUACGAGAGGACCGGAGUGGACGCAUCACUGGUGUUCGGGUUGUCAUGCCAAUGGCACUGCCCGGUAGCUAAAUGCGGAAGAGAUAAGUGCUGAAAGCAUCUAAGCACGAAACUUGCCCCGAGAUGAGUUCUCCCUGAGACUUUAAGUCUCCUGAAGGAACGUU